Macaca mulatta (Rhesus monkey) is the source of this 230-nucleotide non-coding RNA. Lineage: Eukaryota; Metazoa; Chordata; Mammalia; Primates; Cercopithecidae. The record is from RefSeq and is a predicted model, not a curated record.
UGGAUUUGCCAGUGAUUCUGAAUCACUAUAGCUCUUGGAUACAUCUUCCUGACUCAGGCUAACCUCACAUGCAGUGGAAGAUAUUCACAGGAGGGACAAGUCUGAAUGCUGACCAGAAAACUUGCCAUACUGGAAGUUUCCAAGAUUGAAGAAGGAGGGAGAGAGGGCUAUGGGGUCACAGGUUAGAGGUGGUAUCCAGAGCUUGGAAUAAACAUUUGCCCUAGUGUUCA